Molecule: ribosomal RNA, 119 nt
Filed under: Triticum aestivum (bread wheat)
Lineage: Eukaryota; Viridiplantae; Streptophyta; Magnoliopsida; Poales; Poaceae
Source: RNAcentral
GGAUGCGAUCAUACCAGCACUAAAGCACCGGAUCCCAUCAAAACUCCGAAGUUAAGCGUGCUUGGGCGAUAGUAGUACUAGGAUGGGUGACCUCCUGGGAAGUCCUCGUGUUGCAUUCC